UAGAAAACAACUCGUUUACGGUAGGCAA
RNAcentral lists this non-coding RNA (28 nucleotides) under Bombyx mori (domestic silkworm). The record is from RNAcentral. Lineage: Eukaryota; Metazoa; Arthropoda; Insecta; Lepidoptera; Bombycidae.